UACGGAGGAUGCAAGUGUUGUCCGGAAUCACUGGGCGUAAAGCGUCUGUAGGUGGUUUAAAAAGUCUGCUGUUAAAAGUUGAAGCUUAACUUCAAAGAUGCCGUAGAAACUUUUAAACUUGAGGAUGGUAGGGGUAGAGGGAAUUUCCAGUGGAGCGGUGAAAUGCGUAGAUAUGUGAAAGACCACCAAUGGCGAAGGCACUCUACUGGGCCAUUACUGACACUGAGAGACGAAAGCUAGGGGAGCAAAUGGG
Molecule: ribosomal RNA, 253 nt
Filed under: uncultured bacterium
Lineage: Bacteria
Description: partial 16S ribosomal RNA
Rfam family: Bacterial small subunit ribosomal RNA
Source: RNAcentral